Molecule: long non-coding RNA, 849 nt
Organism: Vitis vinifera (wine grape)
Lineage: Eukaryota; Viridiplantae; Streptophyta; Magnoliopsida; Vitales; Vitaceae
Exons: 2
Source: RefSeq, a predicted model, not a curated record
UCUGUCAGUGGGUUGAUUUCAUUUGAAGGCAAAUGGUGCCCUCAAAACCUUGAAAGAUCCAUUCGGAUAACCUCCUAUCUGUAUCCAUCCUACUUUCUCUUAAUAUGAGACCAAGAUUGCUGAGGAAAAGCAUCAAACUACACAGUGAAUUUAGGCCAAACACAAUAAGUUACAAGAAUCCCAAGUGAGGAGCCAUGGAUUGUGGGCUACUUAUGUGAAAAGCUAGUUCUUGUUUACAAAUAUAGUCGGAAACCCGUUUUUCUUUAAUAUAGUUUUUAAAUGCAGAUGAGAGGUUCUUUCAUAGCUUCAUUGAAAAGCCUACUAUUCUUACCUCCUUCUAUUUUGCUAAUAGGAGCUUCCUUUGGUAAUCUAAUUCAUAUUUUUUUUCAAAAAUUGUAAAUGUAUCCUUGCUUAGCAUCUUUGUUCUUUGAAGUUCUCAAGUCUACAAGGAUAUAUCUUUCCUGCCUAUAAGCAAUAGUUUCAGGCUUUACUUCAUAUUAAGAAAAAUGUCAUAAGAAGAAGGGGAAAACUUUUUCAUACCAAGUGCGGGUUCAAAUCCAAGUAUAGGUGGUACUUCAACUACUGAUGGAACAUUGGGAUCUAAAAGAAGAAAAUUGACUUCGGUUGUUUGAAAUGAUUUUGAUGAAGUCAUAGAAGAUUGACAAGAUUAUGCUAUUUGUAAACACUAUAAAGGAAAGCUCAAGGCUGAUAGUAAGAAUAAGACAAAAUAUUUACAUGUAUAUGUGGAUAGGUGCAUGAAACAAAGAAAUGUUGAUAUCAAUAAUUAUUAGCAGUGGGGAGAGAAAGUCAUGGAAAAAUUCAAAUUGGUGGUUUCACCUUUGAUCAAGA